UCCAGCUUAACGCUGGCAGUCCCUCCAGAGUGCCCAACUUAAUGAUGGCAACAGGAGGCGUGGGUUGCGCUCGUUACGGGACUUAACCCAACAUCUCACGACACGAGCUGACGACAGCCAUGCAGCACCUGUCUCUUCGUCCUCUUGCGAGGAAAGCCGACUUUCAUCGGUUGUCGAAGGAUGUCAAGACCAGGAUAAGGUUCUUCGCGUUGCGUCGAAUUGAACCACAUGCUCCACUGCUUGUGCGGGUCCCCGUCAAUUUCUUUGAGUUUUAAUCUUGCGACCGUACUCCCCAGGCGGGGUGCUUAACGCGUUAGCUUCGUCACUGAAACGGUUUACAAUUCCAACGACAAGCACCCAUCGUUUACGGCGUGGACUAC
RNAcentral lists this unclassified non-coding RNA (380 nucleotides) under uncultured Pseudobdellovibrionaceae bacterium. RNAcentral describes it as "uncultured Bdellovibrionaceae bacterium contains 16S-23S intergenic spacer region". The record is from RNAcentral. Lineage: Bacteria; Pseudomonadati; Bdellovibrionota; Bdellovibrionia; Bdellovibrionales; Pseudobdellovibrionaceae.